GUUUUAAAUUAUUAUCUUUUUCCCUUUACAUUGUGUUUAAAAAUAGCAUUGAAAAAUCAUUUUUUUUGUUUCGUCUGACUGCAAGGUAAAAUUCAACAGGUUUUAAAAGUCUGUAUAUGAUGAACAACUGGUAUGUAGUGAAAAAGGGAGUUUAACCCAAAUGAGACAGCAACCCAACAAUAAGUCUAAGAUCAGUUGACAAUUGUUUAAAAAUAACAGAACUUAGUCUUUCCAAUACAAGAG
RNAcentral lists this long non-coding RNA (243 nucleotides) under Mytilus galloprovincialis (Mediterranean mussel). The record is from RNAcentral. Lineage: Eukaryota; Metazoa; Mollusca; Bivalvia; Mytilida; Mytilidae.